CAUCCUUGUCUCGCAGCAAGACCAAGAAUCAAUUUAACACUAGCCAACCGUGCAACUGGGGAGAAUGUGUCAAAAUAGUCCACCCCUUCUUGUUGUGUGAAGCCCUUUGCAACAAGGCGAGCCUUGUAGCGUUCAACAGUACCAUCGGCAUGGUACUUAAUCGUGAAGACCCACUUGCAGCCAACCACAUUUUUGCCAGGAGGUAAACUUUCAACAUCCCAAGUUCUAUUAUCCUCCAUAGCAUGAAGUUCCAGGUUACAAGCAUCCGUCCAUUCUUUAGAUGCCAUAGCCUGUUUGAAAUUCUUCGGUUCUUUUUCCAUUGAAAAUGAGAGAACAAUAGACUGAUAUAUGGGAUUUAGCUUUGAGUAAGUCAGAACAGAAGAAAUGGGAUAUGGAGUAGAAAAAACCUGUGUAGAAUGGGGAGGAGUAGAAAUUUGAGUGAGAGAGCAAUGGUAAUUAGACAAGUAACUAGGUACCUUUGUGUUGCGCUUCGGUCUAGCAUUAGGUAGUGAAGUAAUACCGGUUUCUGUAAUAACAGGGGUUAGAAGUAUUUCCUGGACAAAGAGAAGGAGAUUGUGAUGCAGAUGAUGAUGUAUGAGAUGGAGGAAUAUCAGGGGAAGAAGAAUGAUGCAUGUCAGGUAUAUGAGAUGAGCUAGAAUGUGGAAUUGUAACAUGUUCAUCUAAGACAGCAGGAAUUGGUAAAGGAAGUAUAGAGCUUUGGAAAAUAUCCACUGAAUGAUUAUCAGAGAUAGUGGCAAAAGGAAAUGUAGAUUCAUGAAAAACUACAUUCCUAGAGACAGAUAUAAGAUUCGAAUCCAAAUGUAAGACUUUGUAUCCUUUAUAUCCUGUGGAAUAUCCUAAGAAGACACACUGAUCUGCACGAGGACUAAACUUGUUCCUAUCUUUUUGUAAAGUAGAAACAUAGCAUAAGCACCCAAAAGAUCGAAGAAAAGAGUAAUCAGGGGUUUUCUUUAGUAAAAGUUCAUACGGGGUUUUGUUCUUGAGAAGAGCAGAUGGUAAUCUGUUAAUGAGGAAGACAACAGUCAAAAUGCAUGAACUCCAGUAUAUUAAUGGCACUUUCGAUUGAAAUAAAAGAGAUCGUGCAACAUUUAACAAAUGCUGAUGUUUUCUUUCAACAACUGAGUUCUGUUGUGGUGUGUAUGCACAAGAAAAUUGGUGAACAAAACCAUAUCGAACAACUAGAUUAGAAAAAGCGAGUUCAGGAGCGUUGUCAGUUCUAAUAGCCUUAAUAACAGUAUUGUAUUGUGUGUGAAUAUGAGUAAUAAAGGAAGCAAAACGUUGGUAAACUUCACUUUUGUAUUUCAUCAAGAAUAUCCACGUUACACGAGUACAGUCAUCGACAAUGGUUAAAAAGUACCUAUAACCUUCAACAGACUCCGUAUUAAAAGGGCCCCAAAUGUCUAAAUGAAGUAAAUCAAAUGGAAGACUAGACAUGUGAUUAUUAGACUCAAACGGUAAUCGUUUUUGUUUAGCUAAGGGACAUAUUUGACAAUGAGACUCAGAGGACUUACUAGACUUGGACAGAGGUAAAACAUUGGACAAUUGAGCUAAUCUCUCAUAAGAUGGGUGGCCAAGACGUUGGUGCCAAAGCGAAUUAUCAAGCAUCACGGAUCUAGAGAAAAAUGCAGAUGAAGGAGGAUUGUGAAGUUGUAAUAUGUAGAGAUUGUGAAUGAGAUGUCCUCUACCAAUCAUCAAGCCCUGAAUAGACUCCUGGAUGAAACAAGAAUCAAUGUAAAAAUGUGCUGAACAAACGCCAUUGUGAAGUAAACUACUGACAGAUAAGAGGUUGAAUUUGAAUGAAGGGACAUGCAAAACAUUAUGUAAUGACAGGGAUGGUGAUAAAUGUACUGUGCCAGUGUGUGUAAUCUCUUCUCUAUGUCCAUUCGGAAGUGAUACUGUUAUUCCAGAAACCGAUACUAUGUCACUAAACAAAGCCAAAUCAAAACACACAUGACAAGUGGCACCACUGUCAAUUAUCCAAGAACCAGGGGGGAGAUUAUUAUAUAGAGUGGAUAAACAUUUAUGUUGGAAAGUCAGUCUAUCAUUUUCAAAUCUCAAUGAAGAAGAUGGAAAAGGAAUGAUACCAGAUGAGGAUUGAGCAGCCAUAAUUCCAUGCUCUGUAAUGGUAGCAGUCGGUGCACUAGACGAUGGAUUGUCUGUAGGAUCUGAGACUUUAACUUGUGCACUCAGCUGUUGAAUGAGAGUCUGAACCUGCUCCGGGUUCAUGUUACUAAAGUCGAGAUUCAAAGGGGAUUGAGCUGGAGGUGGCAUGUAUGGGUAAGCAUCAGUCAUCAUAUUUGCCACAACUUGUGGUCUUGGACUUUCAAAUCUUCCUCGGGGUUGAAAAGCAGGAAAUUGUCCUCUUGGUUGAGAUUGAGGUUGAGUAGGGGCGAAUGGUCUUUGACCUUGAUUGUAAGCUGAGGAAGCACUCUUGUAGCCAGGAAUAUAUCCAGGGGGAUACCCAUGUAGUUUGAAGCAUCGUUGAAUAACAUGUCCUGUUUGACCACAAUGAGUACAAACUGGUCUCGUUUUGGGUCGAUAGUUGUUCUGUAAGGCAUAUGCUGCAUAAUCCACAUUUUCUGAGGUGUCCUGAGUAGACUGAGUAGGACCAGAACUUUGGAAAACCACAUUUUCAGGUCUCGUUGGCUUCAUUGACUUUUGUCUCUCAUCUUGUGCUACCAUAUUAUAUGCAUCUUCAAUUGACGGUAUUGGCUUGAGAACAAGAAUAUGUCGUCGAAUUGACUCAUAACAUUCAUUUAAUCCCAUCAAAAAUUUGAUGACUCUGCUUCGAAGUUGCAUCGAUUCCCAUUGAGUUGCUGCAUUGCACUCACAUUUUCCACGAGUACAUACUGGUAACUCAACAUAGUUGUUGUAUUCUUCCCACAGUGUGAUGAGUUCCGUAUAGUAAGAGCUAACAUCCAAAGAUCCUUGAUGAAUAUUACUAAGCCUUUGUUCUAUCUCAAAGAUUCUAGGAGCAUCAUCUUGUUUGAAUCGAGCUAAGAGAUUUUUCCAGAUACCUGAAGCCGUGGAGAUGAACAAAAGACUUUGGCCAAUCUUCUUAGAAACCGAAUUCAUGAGCCAUGUGGCCACCAUAUCAUUACACCGGGACCAAGAUCCGGCAUCUCUAUCACCAUCUCUAGGUUUAGGAAUCGUUCCGUCGAUGAACCCUAGCUUAUUGCGGACAUUGAGCGCCAUACGAACCGAACGUCUCCAAGAAUGAAAGUCUGUGCCAGUGGUGAGUCGAUCGGAAACUAAGAUAAGUCCAGCAUGAUCAGAACUAUGAAGAUAGUAAUGAUUUUCGUAUUGGUCCAUCUGUUGUGAGGUACCACCCGAGGAUUGAUGUAAAUCAGGAGCCAUCGCAAUGUGCGAGAAAUCAAGAAUCUGAACAAUUCAAUGUGAAUCGAACGAAAGAAAGAAGAUGUAAGUGCUGAAAAUGAAGAAGAACAGCAAGAACUAGGUCAAACAAGAAGAAGAAGAACAGAGACAACGAUCGAUGCAAUCGCUGAUUGUAGAACCAGACAAACGUUAACGAGAAUCUCAACAAGAAUCAAAUUGAUCAAAUCUCUUCGGGAAGUGCUCAUCGAGAUGAAUCGAAGCUUAAUCGAAGAUGAAAUCAAGCUUGAUUGAAGAAAAAAUCGCGAUGAAGAAGAUGAAGUCGUUACGCGGAAGAGAGAGUGUUAGAGCUCUGAUACCAUAUUAACUAGAGAGAGAAGCGAAAACUAAUUCUCAUUAAUUCUCUGUAAAUGUGUUUGAUACAUAUAUAUAUACAAGAUGGUUAUAUGGUUAAUUAAAAGAAAGCUUAACCAAGAUAAACCAAUAAUACAUAUAUGGUUAAUAUGAUCGGCUCAGAAGUUGGGGAUUGAAUAUCUCUUCGGCUUGUGUUCUUUGUUCUAACAGAAUAUCCCAUGAUCAUCUAUUAUUUGGCUUCGAUUAAUCUCUCCAAAUUUGGCAUGAUCUAACUUCUAGGAUAUGGAAAAAUCUUCCUAUAGAUCUAUUGAGUUCUGCAUCAUGGAUUCUUCAGCCUCGACCACCUCCACAAUCCUCAGCAUCUGUUAUCAUCAAAGUUAUCAAACAUAAUCUAUUUAGUUAACCUUUAAAAUACUUACAUUUAUAAUUAUACAUACAAGCUACUUAUCUAUAUUUCAUGUAAAAAUAUUUAAAGUGGGGGAAAAAUGUGUAAAAAUAUGUAGUCUAGUUAUUAUAUUAAUGUCGUUGCUGAUUGUGCAGUUGUUAAAUAAUGAUAUGAAGAUAUUACUGUAUUCGUUUAAGAUGCUAGAAGAAAACUUAAUCAGGAAAGCCCAGUAAUAACGUCCAAUGUCAGGGCCCAUCAUGUGUUUAGGGUUUCAAAAGGAAUUCGAGCUAUAUGGUCCCUCUCAUUCAAUAGCGAGACAUUCCUUUUAUGUUCACUUCCUUUGAUCGAGUUUUUUGUUUGUUUGUAUAGACUGAUAAUCAGCAUCAAAUACUAGCCGUAAUUGAAAAUUAAUUUUGAUAUUAAAAAGAAAACAAAAAAAAAACAUGUGUUCUAUCUUUAAUGGUGCAAAAUCAAAUAAUAUUUUUUUUUGAUGAGAUAUACGUGUGUAUAUCGUAUGUUUAAGUUGAUUUUUUUUUGCUCAUGAAAAGAAAAUACUGUCGGGAUUUUUGUAAUUAAAUGUGGUUUGUUUCUCAUGUGGAUUUGGAAUUUUCCCAAGGACCUACAAGCAACCAUAUGAUAUUAAAUGCGUGAGGCAAUAAAUUAGAAAAAAGUAGGACUACCUGAAUCUAUCCAACAUUGUUUUAUAUUACUUGUCUUUUCAUUUUUGCAUAUUCAUCAGCUCUGUCGGCAAACUGAGGUCCACUUUGAUAAGUCUUUAACUUUUUUUUUUUGCAUUUCUCCUUUUGUUGAGUGAGCUCCAUUAUAUUACCCCAUAUACAUUAUAGUAUACAUAAAAAGGAGCUCAGCUCGAUCAUAUUACUUGCAACUUUUUUCGAUUUUUUUUUAUAUUUAGGUUAUAUCUAUUUCGAUAAUGUAAGGCGAGUAGAUAUGUGUGUGUUUUAGUGUGCAAGUGUUUCUGUCGGUGAAAUUGAGCGUAAAUCUUGGGCGCUUAUUUAUUAGCCGAGUUUUGCGUUAGACGAAAAGAUUGAAUUAACCAUCAACUACUAUAUGUAAUACUACAGAGCUUUGUUAGUUUAUCUUUUUAUUCUCUAAUCCAGAUCGUAUUUGGGUAAAAUUGUGAUUAAUUAAUUACAAACAUACCUAAACAGUACUGUAAAUUGUAUGAACGUAAGACUAGAGAUGUCAGAUCGUUGAAUAAAUGUCUCAUUUGACUUUUUACUUAUUUAGACUAAUGAUUUUCAUUAAAAUAUGAUGCAUUUCCCUAUUCAGAAUCAGAACUAACAUUUUUUUUUUUAAUAUGGUUUCUCAGUUCAUAGUUUAGACGUUUGUUUUUCAUUACUUUACGAUUUAUAUGGAUAAACAGUAUUGAUCGUAGAACAUCAAAAUCAAGAAAAAAAAAUAAUAAUAUAUAUAUUCAUAAGUUGAAUAAUCUUAAAAACAUAAUUCUUUUUAACAGAAUCAUAAUUUAAAUAGUUAAAAACACCAAAAGCUACUAUUUAAUACACUAGUGACUACACUAGACAAUUGUAAUUUACUCGUAACUGAUAACUUGUUUUUACAAGUUUUUAAACAAAUUAACCCAUCCAAUAGAAAGGGAGAUAUGAUCUAAUCGCUGUUCUCAAAAUAAAAUGAGAAGACAGGACCGAGGCAGUGGGACACACGGAGUAAAAGUUAAUUUUUCAAACUCAGUGUGGCCCCAGAUCAUCUAUCUUAUUCUUUCCUAUUAUAGUAUUUAAUGCUUCAAUCCAUUUUCCCCUUCUUUAUUUGUUUUUCUCCUUUUUCUUUUUUAAUUUUACUUUAUUUCAAUGUUCCUCACAACUGCCAUUUGAAAAUUAGAAGUACAUUUCUUUCUUACUAUAUACACUAUCAUUUAAUUGGUUGUUUUAUUAUAGCAACUGCAAAAUAAACAAUAAAACAUAUUACAUAUUAAUAGUUGUUGUUACUGAUUGUUGUCACCAACAACUGUGAAACAAAAGAAAGCCAUAAUAUUUUGCGUAUUAAUUAACAUCUACUAUGUGAAUAGCCUAGAUACCCGUUCAACAGUAUAAAACAUCCUACCCACUCCCACCUCUAGACAACACAAUCUUUCAUGCCUUUAAUCAAGCAUCCUCAUUCUAAAGUACACCAAUCUUUAUUAGAUUUUAUUCAAUUCAAUAGUAAUAAAUUAUACUCCUAGAAAACAUUAAAGUCGCCAUGUGGAUGCUUAUAAAGCACAAGAAGAAUCCUAAUAAGUCUCAAUUCAUACAACUAUUUGAAAAGCUAAAGUUAAUGGGUCUUCUUGUUUUGCUCUCCUACGGUAAAUAGGAAAACUUGUUAGCAGGAGAGUAGUUAAUUAUGAUAAAUGGUGCAGUAGAAACCCAAACUUUUAUAGUUUUCAAAUUCAAUAAAUAACAAAAUGAAAAGUAGACUCGAAAACCAAAUAUUCCUUAUCCAAUUAUAUUUGUUCUGUUUCGCAAGUGUCAAUUUAAAGUUAAUUGUGUUUCAUAAAUUAAGAUUUAUCCAAAGAUAGUAAAAUUGAGUCAAAUAAUGAGGCAUAUCAGCAUACGUGAAUAAUUUUUAAUAUUUGUAAAAAAUGUCAUAAUCAAAUCCCCUCUAUACCAACUUUAUAUUUUAGUGUUAUAUAACUGAUCGAUAGUAAAUUUUUUUUUUUAUAUAAUAUAAACCAGUCUCCCUCCCCCUUUAUAUUGGAUACUCACCUUAAAAGACGAAACACUUAGUUUCUGUAUUUCUUCUUCAUCUUCCAUCUCACCUGUUUUCUAAAAGCAAGCCUUUUCAAUAAUGGGCAAUAAACGCAUAGAAGCAAUGAUGAUUUUAGUGGUAGUUAUGAUGAUGUUCUCAUGGAGGAUUUGUGAAGCGGAGAGCUUAAGAAGACACACGUCAUCCUCAAGACGAGGAAGAUUUUUUAAGGUGAGAAGACCAAAUCCACUACAUCAUCAUCAUGGUUUCAUUGACCAUGAUUAUCCUCCAGAAAGUUUCUCAGGAUUUUUGCCCAAGACAAUGCCAAUUCCACGUUCUGCUCCUUCCAAGAAACACAACGUCUAUGGUUUACAGAGUACUAAGUCCCAAACAUAUCCAUGAUCUUUAUCACCAAGAUCACUUACACAUAUUACAUAUAUACAUACAUAGCUAUAUAUGCAUGAUACAUACCUAUAGCAUAGAGAUCUAGUUAUGUCUUUAAUUUCUUCUCUCUCCCCUUUCGUGUUUUCUUUUUUAAUUUUUAAGAAAGUUUUCUGGGAAGGAAUUGUUGUAUUUGCUAAUUCCAUCGAGAAUAACCAAAUUAAGGUCGAGCUAUUUUUGGAUGCACGCCUACUUAUUUUAACCCUACUUAGCUUGGGUAAUUAUGUAUCCUAUAUGCAAUUGUGAACUCAUGAUUGAAUCAUUGUAAUGCAUCAUGCUAAUGUACCUUCUCCGUUCUAUCACUAAACCACCUAUGUUCUACUUGUAUUUUAUUUUUUAAAGUCAAGAAGCAUUUAAUGCUUAGUAAUGAUUUUUCUCAUAGUAUUAAUCACCAACAAAUACUCCAGAAACAAAAGAUUACCAGAAUUGACAAAAAAAAAAAAACUAAAUACUAACAAGUUUUAUAUAGAUCUCGAAGAAAUAAAUAUGUCAUAUUAAUGACCACCUACAAAAUUUCUUCGGACACGUUCAGACAUAUUACAUGGGACCUGCAGACGCUAAAUUUUUCAUAAAUGAAGUCACAAAUUAAAUGAAGUCAUCAUAAAUGAUGCGACGACAUAUAUAUAUAUAUUAUUGGCAUAUACUUUAUGCUAAUGGAAAUUAUUAUUUCUUCAAAAGGAGAAAACAUAGAGUAGUUUGCAUACAAAUGACUGUAUAUGUACCAUCAUAAAUCUUAACGUUGACUUAAGUUUGUCUUGUAGUUUCGAUUUGAUAAUCAAAAAGAACUUUGAAAUGUUGUAGUGAGAGGAUACAACACAUUUAUUAGCAGCACCAACUAACCAACCAUACAUUAGUGAUCUUAUUGCAGCCAAACACUCCAGUUCGACUUUUGCUAUAGCUUAAUUACCAUUGCAAUUUGUAAUUAAUGAAUUGAGGUUUCCAUUAUUUUGUGUCUACUUGACUGCUUCUGCGUUAGCUUUUAGUCUACAUUUUUUAACAGAGACGAACACACAGAGUACUUAAUCAUGUUAAGGAGAAAUUAUGUGUGUUUUAUACGUAAACGCUUAAUGCAAACGCAAAAGUUAAUUAUGAGUUGCGUUUAAAACAAUGGAGACAUGUAAGCCUUACAAAAAUAAAAUCUAAGAGCAUGAAUUUCUUUAUUAGAAAAUCAGAACUAACCGCAUCAUAUGUAUUGUAAAGUUAUACUAGUAUGAGCUAACUAUAUGAGUUACUUGGGCGACAAAAAUAAAAUAAAAUGAGAUUUACCUGAAAAGGCCUUUAGGUUGUUUCCAAAGCAUAGAAAUUUUUAAUAUACAUAUAUAUAUAUAUAUAUUAUGUAGUAUGAAUAAAAAGGUCGAAAGUUGUGAUGGAAUAAUUUUAGGUUUCCUAUAAGUUAUUUUUUUAGUUACUGCUUUAAGACAAUAUGACAAGUUGAUAAAAGCGUCGGUCAACAUAUUAACUAAUCAGAGUUCAAAAAAUACUAACGCAAAAAUGAUGGAUAAAAUUGAAAGAUAAGUAAAUAUAAUGAAUGACCCAAAUUAUUGUAAAGUCUAAAAUGGUAGACAAAAAGAAUAUAUGAAGAAUGAGAAUGAGAAAACUGUAAUAGCAUUGGAAGUUGAUGUAUUUUAGCUGCCAAAAUUCGUUGUGGGUUGACUUAUAUUUUGAUAACACAUUAUCACCUUUAGUCACACAAUUAGGUAAUGACAAACGGUUGUCAUUAGUCUUUUAAUCACAAAAGUCGACAUUUUUUCAAUCUAAAAAGUCUGAAGACCUUGAUUUGGCAAUUCGAAUUCGAUACUUCAACGGUGUUCUCAACAUAUAUAUAUAUAUAUAUUGUUGCUAAAGUGAUCUGAGAACGGGACGAUCAUUUUAUAUAUACAACAUACAUGUAGAGGACAUUACUCUCUCACAAUAUCGAAUCGAGAUAGACAAAGAACAAAAAACAAAAAGGCAGAAGAGUUAGGUUGAACAAUGAAGAGUUUCGGGGCAAAAUGUGGAGAAACUUAAAAUUAUGGGGCAAAAUCAUACAAAUGUUUAUAUGACUACUACUGAGGAAGAACGUCUUCUUCUUCUUCGUCUCUGUCUCUAUGCGUUUGAGAAGCUGUUGAUUUCUCCGACACUCUCACGUUAUAUUUCUCAUACACUUUUUCCCGAUUCUCUGACCACCAUGUCUCUGCUUGAUGUUCUCCGAAUCUUCUUCGGCUGCGAAAAAGAAAAAAAAAGAAAGAAAUUCACAACCUUUAGCAUCAUCAGACUGACUGGUAAAAAGUUGGAAUGUAUAAAUCAAGAAUAUGAGCAGAUGCUAAACCUGAAGCGGACUCUUCUUAGAUCUCUAGUUCCAUCGUGGAGGGCGACAAGGGUUAUAUACACGCCAGGCUCGUACUGUUCGAUCCACUCUGCUUCUACCUGAUUAGUAUUGUUGUUAACAGCUCCUGUUUGGCUCGAACCAUUGUCGCUGCUGUUGUUUUGAAACUGAAAAGGCUCGUGUCUCUCACUGACUACUGACCCGCUGCUGCUAAGCCGUGGAUCUGCUGGAUAAGCGUUGUUGUUGUUUCUUUCGCUGGCUCGAGGCGUGUGCUUUGGUGAUUGGAGAUUGGACCAAGAUGAUGCAUUUGCAAAGGCAAAGUCAAAAGGAGCAACUGAAGAUAUAGAAGAAGUCAUCGACUCCGACCUUGAAGGAUGGAAACCAUUUUCUUCAGGGAAAAAAUGGAAACCGUUGUGGUCAAAUCCGUUGGCGAGUUUUAUACUCUCACCAGGAGGCAACUUCUCAGCUACAUCCUUGAGCUGUUUUUCCAGAAACCAAAAGAUAGCUUAUUAUGAGUCAACGGAGUCUUCCUUUGUGAGAUCUCAAGCUUCGAUGUAGUUGACAACAAAUAUAUAUAUAUUUGAAAACCGAUUACAUUAUACCUGCGCUAUGAGCGACUUUAUUGCCUCUUUUGCGGCUCUUGAUUUGGCAGAUUCCUCCUCUGCCAAUGCUAAAGCUUCCUGAGUCUUCUUAACCGAAUUCUGGAGCUCCACUUCUUGGAGCUCACACUUUUGAAUCAGACUGUCAACCUAAACCACCAAAUCAGAUGAAUGAAUGACAAUAUUACCACAUCCGAUACAGAAAGUGAGUGACUUGAGUGCCCUUCUCUGAGAGAGAUGCAUGUACAGUACCUGUGUUCGUAACUUAUUGAUCUCCUGAUUCAGCAUUUCAUUGGUCUUUUUCAUGUUAUCUGCUAAACCCACCGGAAAAUAGAUUCCGGAAGUUGAAGGCAUAGGAGUGGCAGAGCGUGGAGGACUAGAUCUCCUAGAGAAAGGUGACACCGACCUGGAGCUAAUAAUACCUGACUGAGCCGGAGCUAGCUUUGGAGUAGACCUUCGCAUGUCGCCUAUGUUAGACUGCACAGCAUCUUUCAGCUGCAGCAAGGAAGGCAGCUGAGAGUUACGACCGAGUGAAAAAUUGUCAGUCUUCUUCCCUUGCUUGGCCGCUUUGCUAUCAAGUUGCUUGAUCAAGUCCAUGUUGGAUGUACCAAAUCUUGCUAAUCUUAUUUCAGUUUUGUCCAACCUGUCUUUGUUCUCUCCUGAAAGACGAGGCACAGCGUUGUUUCUCCUGUUAGUAUCGUUUACCUCAGACACUUUGCUGAGCUUAACGUAACAAGAGUCGCACACACGAUACAGUCUUCCCGCGCUUGGAGCCAAUGCAGCGCGGAAUGCCUUUUUGGAACUGCAUGAGUGGCAGUGCACGAGCCCACAGUUGUAGCAGUUAUGCCUUUUCCGUGUAAACCCAAAGGCCAGUCUACAGGUCGAGCACUGAGACUGCUCAGCACCAGAGACCCAUUUGUGGAGACAUAUGGCUGCAGUGUAAUUCGAUCCGCAUGCAAUGUACUUGACGUGUCUGUCCUUCAAAGCUUCCACAAGAGUUGGCACUUUUCGAUCCUCAAGAUCACCAUGGCCUAAUCUCCCGUUGGCUCCUUUACCCCAUGUGUAGACUUCAUUUCGAGAUGUUAAAGCCGCCACGUGAUACGCACCGCAAGAGAUCUCCUCCACAAAUUCACUCGCGAGCUUGUCCUCCACCAAACACGGUAACUUCCCGUCCGUCUGAAAAUUCCCAAGCUGGCCAUAAACUGUACUCCCCAUCGUGAACACUUGUCCAGACGUGGUCAGACCAACUGUCAAACUGUGUCCACAUGCAAUCUUGUGGAAGUUGUAGUCAAUCAGUGCAGGCACACAUGUUGGCUUAAGCCUAGGAUCCUUGUCACCGUGUCCAAGACGGUUUUUGUCUCCAUCACCCCAUGUGAACAGUUUUCCAGACGAUACGGAGCUUGAGUUCGACUGUGUGACAAUGAUCUCCACAACAGCAGCAGUGUGCCAAACCCCGCAUGAAACCGCAAUCGUUCUCAACCCUGAUAAAGAUUCAACUUCCCUUGGAUACUGAACUGUUUCCCUGUCACCGUGCCCUAAGACACCAAACGUUCCAUCUCCAAAUGUAAAAAGCCUCCCAUAUGAUGUUACCAAAGCAGUAUGCCAAGGUCCACAAGUUACCGAAGCCACAUGGAGCCCCUCGAGAGAUCCCGCGAUUCUCUUUGGUAUCCAGUGACUGAUAUCAGAGCCAUGCCCUAAAAGCCCCACAUUAUGUGUACCGUCACCCCAGGUAUAGAGCUCUCCAGCCAGAGUAACAGCACAAGUGUGGAAUUCUCCACAAGCAACGAAGUCAACAGAUGAAGCAGCUGUGAGAGAUUCAACAAGACGGGGAUGAAAAACAUCCUUCCCGAUUCCAUGGCCCAGUCUUCCUCCAGAUUCUUCACCCCAAGUAAAAAUCUCGCCUUGCCUUGUCACAAACGCAGCAUGCCUGACACCACAGGCAAUCUGAUGAACAUCCAAGACAAUGUUAGACUCCAACGGCUUAGGCAGAAGGACAUCCGUUCUUGUGGUCAGAUAACUUGCAUUCUUAUCAAUCCCGACCUUAACGACACUGUCACAUAUAACCUCACCCCAAAUAUAAACGUCACCUAGCGCAUCAGAUUCAUCUGCUGCAGAACCGUGACUAGAACUACUUUGGGCACUCGAGACACUAACCCGAAAACCAUCUGAACCAGCAGAUACCUUUGUUUGCAUGUUUUUGGUUUCCAAUGCCACAUGUGAUUUCUCUGAACCAGUUAAAGGAACUUCAGGCUCAGCACUCUUAGGAGAAGCAACUGGAUCGAAAUUAAAGGGAGUCCCAGGAGAGCUGUGACCAAGUGAAGCGCUCGCAGAACUGCUGCUUGGACUGCUCGAUGUCAAGUCUCUGCUGGCCUGAAAAAAUAAUAUAUUUCAUAUCAACCAAAGAGUUCAACAGACAGAAGUCCUGAGAAAAAGACAUACACAGAGUCCUUGCCUGAAUACUUACAUCAACUGAAAUAUUUCCGCCACUCCAGCCAUCAAUUUUUGAGCGCCCGCCUUGCCCACUCGAUAUUAAUGAUUUAAGGCCUCCAAUCCAAAUUUCAGCCUCAACCUUGUCCUUACAAAUCUAUUAAGAAUUAUGAUGCCUGGAGUUAUUAUCAAGUGUUGCUGAAAUGAUUGUCGAAAUACACCAGUUUCACGAUGACUAACCAAGUCAAGAGACUUCUUUUUUCCGUUGUAUAAGAGAGAAAAGGAUAAGUAAUCUUUCUCUGGGCGAAGGUAACGCUGGAAAACAGCCUAUUGCAAAAGAUUAGAUAGUUUCUUAGAUAUGCUUGAAAGCCAGGAGGAAUUCUUUAUCUUUCCAAAUAGAUAAGAGUUUUCAUAUCAAGAACUGUGCAGAAAAGAAGACGUCUUACAGUUCUUUGCCCAGGGAUAAUUUUAGAUACAGAGGCUAACUUUAGUCGCUUUUCACCGCUACUCGAUAUCCAGAUCAAAGAUUUUUCAUCCUGUACAACCAACACCAACGAGCAUAACUUUUGUUUUUUUCUUUCUCAGAUGAAGCAAUUGUCCGAAAAACAAGUGUAAAAGAGAAGUGGUUGAGCAGACAGCAACUCACACUAGACAGUCUAAAAGGAUAAAAUUUCGGCUUUCCUUUCCGACCAUAUUUCAAAAGUUGUGUUCCCUUCUUCAAUGUAACCAAUGCCUGCCAAAAUGUACAAGAUCCGCGUAAGAAAACGGGGACUAGCUACAGGUAACACCAAGUUUAAGACUGCAUAUGCCCUUGCAUCACCAAGUUUCAAUGGUCAUUUUACACGGAAGUUUCAAAAACAACAAUUGACUAUAAUUCCAUUCUUCGAUUGAUCUAUUUUCCUAUAGCUUACAAUGCCAAGGUCUUGCUUAUUCCAUAAGCCUAAAAGAGUUCACUAGAAAAACAAAUUCAAUACACAUGUUCUAUAAGGACAAAUGACACGGGAAGAAUGAGGAAAACUCACACAAACAAUCCCCCCAAACUACACUGAGAAUUCGGGUUUCAAAUCCGGUGAUAGAUUCUUGGGAAGAAAUCAUUGUUACCAAAGAACAACAAUAAACAGAGACUUGAGAUUUGCUGGAUUUUUCGGAAAAAAAAGUUGAACAAACAAAACAAAACUCCAAACUUCCAACUUUGAACUUCCUCUUAAUCACCCCACUUCAAUCGCUGAAUGCGUAAUAAAUAAUAAUUACUCUGUAGUAACAAGAUUUAAGCUUUCUACUGCUUAGAACAAAGGAUUAUUCCCAAGUGAUCGUAAACUUUGCAAAAUUGAAAGAGAAGAAGAAAGAUGGAGAGAGAGAGAGAGAGAGAGAGAGAGAGAGACGAACCUGUUCAACGUUUUGGUCAGCAUUACUGUAGGUCACAAGAUCUGCCAUUCCAUGUGAAAAAAUCACCAGAGCACCACCACCCUCUUCGAUCCUUACCCGACGGGUCGUUCAUCAUCUAUACGAAAAAGCCCCGGAGGUCCUAGCCGCCGUGGAAACCAUCAAUAAAAGCCGUGACCAGCCAGUGAACCAGUUGCAAGAGAAUUAGAGAGAGAGAGAGGGAAACGUAAACGAAAAGCUUAAAACUUUCAAGCAAGAUGGCACUGUAAUUGACCUCCCAGAUCUACCGAUGCUUCUCCAAGAACGAAACUUUAAUAAUAAAAAUGCUAUACGAUCUUCAGAAUUCCCCUCCAGGAGUUAAAUUUGAUUCGCAAGUGCUGCUUUCGUAUGCUGUGAGAAACAAUUCGCCUCUCCGGCGAAACAAAGGACGACCUACCGGAGAAAAUAGUGGUGGGGAGAGAGAAAAUCCCGGCGGAGAAAAACGACGGAAAAGCAAAAAGGAACAAGGAGGAAGACAAGGAAGUCAGAGACAGCGAUGACAGAAUGAAGAGAGAGAAACAAAAAAAAAGAAGAAAAGAAAGUGACGACGGUGUGAGCGACGCAGUCAGAGACUGUAAAAUACCAAUAUAAAUAAAUAUAUACUCCUUUUUAACAUAAAUUUAUAUACUUCUAUUUAUUACUACUAAUAAAUAAAGAAACUGUCUAAUUAAAAACUCUUCUAUUCAGAAUUAUUUGAUGUUUUAUAAGGUUUUUUUAUUUAGAAUUAUUUGAUGUUCUCACUUUUCAAUGUCAAAUUUAAUGAAUUUUUAUAAUUUUUAACUUUUUAUAUUCUGCAGAUUGUUUUCUUAUUGGCGGAAUGAUAUUUAAAUGGAUUAUAAAUAAUAUCUUUAGUAUAAGAAAAAUAAAAAUUAAAUAAAUUCUUAAACUGUGUGCAAAAACAUUAUACAUCAAAUCAUUCUGAAAAGAGAGUAUUUUAUUCUGUUUUUCUUUUGGUACAAAACUUCUUAAAAUAAUUUAAUAUUUUUUAAAAAAUAUAGAGAGAAGAGGCAUCCCUAUAAGACUCUAUUAAGGCUAGUGAAAAACAAAAAAAAAAAGAGAAAAAGAAAAGUAAAGAGGCGUUCCCCAUGCAGUAGUACAUUCGAGUAAAUCAAACUUUUAUAGAAUCUUUAAAAUAAGCAUGUUUUGAUUACAAAAAGCACAUUUUGGUUUGUAACUUGAAAGAAAUGUGCUUGGGAGGUGAACGAGAAACCUAAAUUUUGGUGUUUGGGUGAAUAAUGGUUAGAGAUGGUCUAAGAUUUCAAAGAAGUAAAAGUAAUGCACACAAACAAAUCACAAAGUCGAUUAUGAUCUAAGUCCGAAUUGAUUCACACAAAUAAUUUUUUUCAGUAUCAACAAUUUUUAUCAUUAGUUGUAAUAAGGGAAUGCGAUACAUCCAUCGUAUACGUAUCUGUUUUAGAGCUAACAAGAAGACCAUUGAACAAGACAAUCCACAAUGUCAACUAAACCAACUUUUAAUCCGUUCUGAGUUUUUUAAAAACACUCUUAAUUAAAUAGCUAUCUGCAGCGUUUGUUUAUGGAAAUUUGUGUUUGUUUAAACAUGAAUAACAUUGUUGACUUUCUUGCUUGAGAAUGGAAUAUUAAUUAAUUUAAUCGUCGUCUAAAAAUGAGUUUUUUCAAAGGAUACUUCCGGUUUAGAUCAUAGCGCGGAUUUAAUUAUGUCGGUUUAGUUAGUCCGAUCUGAAACUCACGCGCUAAAUUGAGGUCUAUAAUGGUCAUUUUUAAAGAGGAAGCAGUUUAUUCUUCGCCGCAGACACGUUGAACGCUAGUUGUCGAUUGUACUGAAAAGACAAAAACACCCCUAAGGGAGGUAAGUGGGCCUGUUUGGUUUGGUCCCUACCUCCACAUUUCGGGGAGUUAGUCGAGGAGAAUGUAUCACUUUUGGAUGAAAACAAUAAUAUGCAUCUCCAAUUUCUCUACUUUUUCAUCUUCUUCAUUAAUCAAUUGAUUAUUGUUAAUACUAUGAUUUAUUAUUUCUUUGUGUAACAUCCUUUAACUUCACCGACGAAUUAUAUAAUUUGUGGAUAUAAACGAAUAUGCAUGUGAUUUGUUUGGCAGCAAUACAUAAUUACAUAGGAUCUAGCUCGUCUCGACAUUGUAAAAGCAAAUCGAAACCUUGGAUUGGAUGAUGCACGCCCAAGAACCAAGACACAAAGUUGUAGUUCAAUUUUCCAUACAUAUGUAUUGAAUACGCUUUAUUAUAUAUUAAUAUAUUAUAAUACAUUAUCAUGGAUGUUCAAUUGUAUAUGUCCUUUAGACUUAAAAUCAACAUCUCAUUAACAAUUUAAAAAAAAAAAAAAAAAAAUCAACAUCUGAACUACAUCUUAGAUUGGGAAAAAAUGCACCUUGAAUGGAACAAUAUACAAAAUUGUCUUCCGGAACUUUGUGACUAAGUAGUAAUUAAAGACACACAUCAUAUACUAAGACGAAGAAUAUUUUUUUUUGGAAAAAUAGCUCAUGUUGAAGUUUAUUGAAGCGUCAAUGCGUCAUGAGAUCUCAUUAUAAUACCACUUGAAACAUAUCAGCCUAGUAAUUAUGUUAUUGGUGUUUUGAGAAAUUGAGGGUUAAAAUGGAUUAGAGGACCCAUGAGAAGCUCAAGAUAGUGUCUCAUGAAAAAUUGAAAAGUCUUUAACAAAAAAGGUCUCAUGAAAAGUCCAUUAACCUAUAAUAUUAGGGUUCUUAGCAAGUAAAGAUUCAUAUAAUUUUGGAUUUAGAACAUCAAUAUAAUGUAAUUCUGGGAGUUGCCAAAAAGCAACUCAUUUCUGUCUGAAUUGUAUGAUAUGUAGCAAUCAACAAUCUUUUAGUUUUUGGUGACACACCUAUAUCUUUUCCUUUUUUAUUUUAUGCAUUUGAAUAAAGCUUAUCAGUGAGCUAUUUCUAUUUCAUUCUCAGAAAAGCUUUUUGAGUAUAAAUCUAUUUUUGUUUUGAAUCCGCUAGCAACAAUUAUUAGUAAAAGUAGGUUCCAUAUCACAAAAGAAAACAACUAAUAAAAUCAUGUCUUUGAUGUAAUAACAAAAGAAAUUUUGAUAAAAUUGAUGUAAGAACAAGGAAUGCGAUGAUAGAUUGUAUGAUUGGACUUUAGAGCAAAUAAAUGAAUAAAUGAUGAUUAAGGCAAAGGCUUGAGAAGACAAGAAAUGAAAGCUUUAACAAAAAAAAGAGAAGAAAUGAAAGUUUGGGUUUAACGAAAAAGAAAGGCUCGAAGGAAACAUGGAAAUCUACUUGCUUUGUUGGUUGUUGUGUAUGGGCCCCUCUCUCUUUACGUAUGACAUCUCCUCAUUUUCUACCUAUAUACACUUGUACAUAAACAAAUAAAAAUCUUAAUAUUUUGUCGUGAUAUUUGUCAGCUAUUAAAUUGCUUAUUCAAAAGUUCAUUCAUUGUGAUUCUGCAUGUCACCAAGUCAUAAAUACUACCAGACAACAUCAAAGUAUAUUUUGUUCUUGAUACUCCUUAAGAAAGCACCUACAACAUAUACACACGCGACAAUCCGUGAUUCACCUUAAUUACACACAAUUCAAUAAUCAGAUUGUAAAUGCUGCAUUAGUAAUGUAUUCGAAAUCCUUAUCGAGGACAAUACAUUGUUGGACACCUUCAAAACAGAAUUUGGAUUGAAACCGGGUCAUAUGGGCCCAAAAAGACAAAUUUUGUUUAAAUGGGUCUACGAUUCGAUGAUAUAGUGGCCCGUUAAACCGGCGCGGUACGGAUCGGGUCGUUGAGAAUCGGAUCUUUAACUGAAGCUGGGGAGCCAUGAAUGUCAAUCACCAAUCUCGAGGUCGAUCAAGGAGCGAUUCGAAAGAGAAGAGCGAGCGAGAUAGAGCUCUGUUGUAUUUGAAACCAGAUAGAAUCGAAGCUAUCCACUGGAAAUAGGGCUUUUGUUCUUCUCAAUCUCCUUCUUGUAGCUUGUGAUUCCUGGAUUACCUGUUUUUGUCAACUUCCAUGGCGGAUGGAUACUGGAAUCAGCAGCGACAGCAUCCUCCUCCUGGUGGUCCUCCGAAACGUCGCCGUUCCGAUUUCGGUAAGCUCAUUUCUCUUAUACUCUCGCUAGUUGGUUUCUCGAUAGCUAGAAGAAGCACAAUACGCAGUUUCAACAACUCUUUGAUUGAGGCCACAAUUGAGCACCUUGAUGAUGAUGAUCAAUAUAGGAUACAGAAACACAUGGGGAAUAGUCUGCUUUAGAUAGAUAAACCCUUCCCGUAAAUAAAUCUCCAGAUUCUGCAUUUUGUCUUCGCAGAGGCUCUACCAUCUGCAAUGCCUUCAGGCCAUGAGAUGCACGGUGGUUAUUUUCCACGGGAUGAGGAUCUUGAUGUUCCCGAUACUAGAACUAUUGGGUCUGCUUAUGAUCGCUACCUACAAAGCGUGGUGGUACCAUUCUUAUUGAUUCAUUUCAGUAUAAUCUUCUGGUCCAUUCUUCUUUCUUUGUUGACCUGGUUCAUUUUUCCUUUGUUCUUGAUGAAGCAAACACCUUCUAUGCAAUCUGGAGAAGCAGGUCAUCGUAAUGGUGUAGCCAUUGGAAGAACAGGAGGUAACGGGCAAUCAAUGGGUGAGUUUAUGAUGAGACGUGGUGGAGUUCUCCCUCCAGACCACGGUCCAGAUGGUCGUGCUUUGGGUUUUGAUCCACAAGAAUCUGUUGAUAGGCGUAACCGUGAACCACUUCCUCUACCUCCAGAUGCAUCCAACACUCUAUAUGUUGAAGGACUUCCUUCUAAUUGCUCAAGGAGGGAAGUAGCUCGUAUCCUAUUUCAUGACAAGUUUUCUUUUUUUCCUUUUCUCGAAACUAACCUUAACGGAAACUAUCUUCUCUCCACUUUCCUUAACCGAGGUCUAGAUAUAUUUCGACCUUUUGUAGGAUAUAGAGAAGUGAGACUUGUGACCAAAGACUCAAAACAUGCAAGUUUCCUUGCUUCACUCACAGUUCGGAUAUUGUUGAAAUCGCUUGUACCAGAAAUUAUAUUACUUUGAUAAACAUACUAAAGGGUUUGUAUUUAUGGUUAAUGCAGCGGAACGGAGAUCCUAUUGUUCUUUGCUUUGUUGAUUUUACAAACCCUGCCUGUGCAGCGACUGCUCUGAGCACCUUACAAGGUAAGUAAUAAUCUUACGAAAUCUCUUUCCACUUGAUUUCUCGUUCUCCUGGCUUCUUAUUCACAUUUAUCUUUAGGUCUGUUUUCAUUGUGUAACCUUUUUCAGUUGGAUUGUCUUGCUAUUUGCUAUAGCCUGAGCCUUAAGUGGCAAAUGCCCUCUCGUCCCUUAAACCAUAGACUUUAUCCCCUGUGCAGCUAUGCUCUAUAUCUCAUUUUCUUUUAAAAACCAACACAUUUCGCAGGCUAUCGAAUGGAUGAGAGUGAGCCUGAUUCGAAGUUCUUACGGCUCCAAUUUUCAAGAAAACCAGGUUCAAGACCAGGACAACGAGGAAGAAGGUAAUGACUCAGGGACAUUGAGGUACAUCAACCAAAUGAAUUUAUUGUUUCUCGUCGGCUGGUUUUAACGGAAAGAGCCAUCCUCGUUCAAGUAGAAACUCAAUGAAACCGAACAUUACAUCACUUGUUGUAUCGUUGAAGCUACCUGAAUCCUGAGAAACAAAGAUGCGUGGAGAGUGUAGAAUCUGAGGUGAUAGAACCUUAAAAUGCUAUUUUCACACAUAUAAUAUAUAUAUAUAUAUAUAUAUAUAUGUAUAUUAUUUUUGUUCCCUCCUUCUGUUAUAAAGUUGUGUUGUCGAUAUCAAAAUGUUUAUUACAAAAAGCUUGGUUUAAUAGAAUUUUAUACGAAGAGGAUUUUCUAUGGCUAAUAUCAAUAAAACAUUAUUUGCUCUGCUUUCUUCAUAAGCACUGUUUUUUUUUACCUUCGUUGUCAAUUCAUAUUUUGACUUGUAUUCCUCUCCUUUUUGUUUUCUCCUCCAGUUUAGAAAAUGAUUGAUUUUUUUUUUUUGGUCUUUCAAUAAUUCCUGUCUAUGUAUUAGAUGAAGACGUGUUUCGGGUGUGCUGUAGUCAGGGACGACUUGUGUGAUAUUUGAGAUAAGUUGUAAAAGAUUAUUUAUUUAAAUCAUUUUGUCGUCUAAAUAAUGUAAUGUUAUCUUGUUUCAUUCAUUGUCUGAAUGUGGAAAUUUUCUGUACACUUGGACAAACAAAGAGACGAACAAAAGCCUUAAGAAGACUUCAUGAAACUUCCUUUGCUUCAACAAUUUCUUACCGUCUAAAUUCUACCAUCAUACACAGAGCCAUUUGCUACUCAUAAAAUAGAUGAGGAAAAUUAAUUACACAUUAUCACUAUCAUCAAUUUACGAAAAAUGAUAAUUACUAAUCUCCUUGUCGGAAGAGUCACACCCCAAAAACGUAUAACCAUAACAAUGCUCUACUCCGCGUCUCUUUUUGUAUUACAUAUCAGAUAAUCAGAAAUCUUUCAUGUUUGUUGUCUGUCCCCUUUCACGAUUUUGAACUUCUUCUUUUUUUUUUUUUAAUGUGUACAUGUUGUCGAGUCUUCCCUAUAAAUGUAGGACAUACAUUAUUAAAACUGAAUUUCCCUAAACCAAAAGAAACUACGUUAGGUCUUGGUCUAAUGGUCAGUUAGUCAGUACCUACUAGAUCUGUGCGUGUAGUGCCUUUCACUAUCGUUGAGUCUUUCCUCAAAUUACUUUUAUAUAAGACUUAGAUAAUGAGACAAGACAAAAUUAAUAUAAGGGAUGCAUAACAAAAUUGUUCAGAAAGACGUAUGUAUACUUGUAUAGAAGCCGCCUGGCCCCCACGAAGCAGUGAAGUCUACGAACCCCUUCCAAUGCUUUCACACGGGGAAUUUAUUUGGUAAUAUACUGCAAUGGACAUCUAUAAAAAAAUACUAUAUUGCAAUGAAAAACGAAUAUAUUGUAAACUUCAAUUUUUGAAAAAAAAAAUUGUAAUUGAAGGCAAAUCUUAUAGGUUAUGGGAUCAGGUGAUUCUUGGAAUAAGACUACAUAACAUGUUGAAAUUCUGAACUUAGGAGGAUAUAUUCAUGCUUUGAACCAAAUAUAACUCGCCACAGAUGUAUUUAGAGAAAUACGUACAAUAAUGGUUGCAUUAGGAUUAAACAGAUUAUGGUUCCUUUAGCUUAAACCGAUAACUACCAUCAGCUGUAUGAAUGACAUGAUUCACUACAAAAUAAAUUACUUUUAAACUUUUGGUCAGGUAUAUUUUCUGUAUAAAGAAUAACUUUCUCCACUAGUAUUAGCGAUUCUAUUCCAUUUUUUAUAUGAAAAAUCAAUCAGGGAAAAAUAAAUUUUACUUAGAUUUUUGCAUGAGCUUUUGCUAAAAGUCAUUGAUUUAUUUGGAAUAUCAUUAUGAAAAUCCAAGCACGUCUUUUUUUUUCUCCUUUUAAUAUAAUCAUGAGUGUAAGGGAGAAAGCAAAUAAAGCAACACAAAUUUGAUGUUCUAUUAUUCAAAAAGUAAGUUAGAAAUGCAUGAAAAAAAAAAUUACUGGGAAAAAUACAGAUGAUAAUAGUGAAUCAGUGAUUACAAAUUCCUUUUUUGGUCGACAGUGAUUAAACAUUCAUUUGAAGAAAUAUUUACAUGAAUUAAUCCAAUUUUGGUACACAUUUUUCUUCUUCGUUUAUUGGAACACAUUAAGGUCAGACAAAGUGUGCAUUACGAUAGUAAUAAACUCCAAAGGUUUUUAUUAGGGAGGCAAUAGUAAAAAUUAAUAUGUUUGAAUCGAUGUGUGUUCUUUCUUUUUCAUACAUUCCAAUUUGAAUGUAUAUAUGAUGAAAAUUAUUAUUUAAAGUAUUGAUAUGAAUAUAUUAUCUCCAAAGAGGAGAAAAAGAAAUCAAAUAGCAUAUAUAUAUGCAGCUACGACCCACGUUGGAUAUUACAUAUUACCAAUCAAAUUAAAUACCCUUUUUGGUUACUUUUGUUUUCCGUGGUUGGCUUGGAGCCCUGGACUUUGAAUCACCAAACGAUGUUUGCUUUUACCUAAUUAUCUCACCAAAUUAGAGACUUUUUUGAGUAAAACAGUUUUGAACUUAAAAGAUUCUCACACACUACUAAAAACCGUUUAAAUUUUGUGUGGAAUGCAUACACAUAUAUUGCCGCUAAAGGUAACUUUCUGAUUGUUAAGUAUAUUUUUAUUCUGGAAACAAAUCUAGCAACAAAUAUAUAUAUAUAUAUAUAUAUAUAUAUAUAUAUAUAUAAUAAAAAAUGUUAGUAAUAAUUUAAAAAAAAAAAAAACCCAGCAAGGCAAAAAAAAUUUCCGCAGUUUACGUAUUUUUAUCUUCAUUCCUACUAGUUUUUUUUUUUAGAUCAUUCAUUCCUACUAGUUAUAAACUCAUAAUUAUUACUUGAUUAAUAAAAUUUUAUUAUUAUUAUUGAUAUUGUGUUUCCAUAUGAUUUUCGAACCAUAAAAUAUUUUUUACUCCAUCACUAGUACCAUGUAAAAAUAACAAAGCAUAUUUAAGUUUGUUUAAACCAACUUAUAUAUGACGGUGAUUAUAUAUUUAUAUUAAGUUUGUUUUACGUCAAUUUCUUCAGCCUCAAAAUUGUCAAGAUUAGUUAUUUAACUUUCGACGCCUAACCAAGAUAGUCAACUUUCGAGAAAAAUAAAACUAUAUAGAAUGUUAAGUUGUUGAUUUGUCUAAAUCCUAAUCCAGCUGGUUACUUACCCAUUUGAUAAAAAUUGCUCAAACAUUUAACUUCUAUUAUCUGAGAUGUUUUAUUGUCUAAUGUUUGACCAAGCCUUAACUAAUUUUCAAGAAGACAAUUGGCCUUGAAUUGGAUUAUCCUCCACCUUGUAUAUUUAUUUCUGAAACACCGGUUCGUGAAUCGUGAUAAUGUUAUUAUUUCCCAAUAUGUUAACAUUAUAGUAUAUAAAUUAAGAUACAAUGUAUAUACGUUAUAUCUUUCUCGUUGAGUUGUUUACAUCAUUUCAAAAGUAAGCAUAUUAAAAAGAAACGCGAUAUGCCGAUAUGACUAUUUGAAAAUUUCAAAUGCUAUUAAAAAUUUUGGUCAUAACAUCUAUUUAUCUUGUCUGAAUCUUAAAACGUAAUAUUAGAUUCGAGUUAAUGUUGAUCAAACAAUAAUUAGAAUAAGAGAUUACAAAUGAAUCUGAGUAAUGACAAGAAACGUGUUAUAAAACGAAGAACGUGUGAGGCAAAACCCCAAAAAACAAAGCAGAAAAUAAAUCAAAGAUUGACUGUCACCGGCACGAGAGAGAAUCAUCUGCAUGACGGACCACCUUCUCUUUCUAUGUUCCUUCUACAUUCAACUCGGCCGCCUAUCUUUUAAGAUUUUAACGCGUUCCUUCUUUAUUUGUUCUUGUCAAGAACAAAUUAAAAUAGGAUGUCAAAGAUAAACUCGAAAUUUGAUUUUUCUUUUACUUUUGAACAAUGUAGUUCGUAGUUAAAGAAAGAAAAAAAAAACCUAUUCAAACUCGUAUAUUGUAUUUUGUUGAAAAUAAAAUAAAAAAUAUUUGGAUAUAGAAAAAAUAGUAUUUCAUGUGCUGGUAAUGGACGAAUGCUUGUUUACAGCAUUCAGAAUGUGUAAUUCUCUCGUUUGUUCCCCUCUGUGGGAUCAUCUAUCUUUUUUACGCACCAUUUUCUAGAAUAAUGUCGGUCAUUUUUGAUUUUUAUAGUUCCUCUAAUAUAUUAUGGUAAAAUUCUGUUACCUGUAGAUUCAAUUCAAUGUUCUCUAUAUUUUAUUUGAUAUGAACAUGCAGAACAUAUCGAUCAACGAUGACCAAAAUUAUAGAAGGGGAAAAAGAAAAUCAAUAAUGUAGCCCGAAAGAGACUAACCUCAUUUUCUUUCUUUGUAUUAUAUAUUCAAUCAUUAUUGUUUUUCUUACAUAUGACAUAAAUUGCCAUUUACCAUGAGCGAUCGAAGUUAAAAAAAAAAAAAAAACCGAGAAAGUGAAAUUGAAAAGCUAUAUAAAGGGUGUGAAGGGGAGAGAGUAGAGCAUCAAACACAAAGAGAAACACAUAGAAAAUGGGGUCACCAAUGGCUUCUUUGGCAGCAACUUUGCUUGUCUUAGCAUUCUCUCUUUGUUUUGUAUCGGAAACCACCGCAAAUUACUACUACUCUUCUCCUCCUCCACCGGUCAAACACUACACUCCUCCGGUUUACAAAUCUCCACCACCACCGGUUAAGCAUUACUCUCCUCCUCCGGUUUACAAAUCCCCACCUCCUCCCAAGAAACACUACGAGUACAAAUCACCUCCACCACCGGUUAGGCACUAUUCUCCUCCUCCGGUUUACAAAUCCCCACCCCCACCAAAGAAGGACUACGAGUACAAAUCUCCUCCUCCACCGGUUAAACACUACUCUCCUCCUCCGGUUUACAAGUCUCCACCACCACCAAAGAAGGACUACGAGUACAAAUCACCUCCACCACCGGUUAAGCACUACUCUCCUCCUCCGGUUACAAAUCUCCNNNNNNNNNNNNNNNNNNNNNNNNNNNNNNNNNNNNNNNNNNNNNNNNNNNNNNNNNNNNNNNNNNNNNNNNNNNNNNNNNNNNNNNNNNNNNNNNNNNNUCCACCUCCACCAAAAAAAGGACUACGAGUACAAAUCCCCUCCACCACCGGUUAAGCAUUACUCUCUCCUCCAGUUACAAGUCCCCACCUCCUCACCAAGAACACUACGAAUACAAAUCACCUCCUCCUCCGGUUUACAAGUCCCCUCCUCCUCCGGUUUACCACUCUCCACCACCUAAGAAGCAUUACGAGUACAAAUCUCCUCCUCCACCGGUUUACCAGUCUCCUCCUCCUCCGGUUUACCACGCUCCCCCACCACCAAAGAAACAUUACGAAUACAAAUCUCCUCCACCACCGGUUUACCAGUCUCCCCCUCCUUUGGUUUACCACUCUCCUCCACCACCCAAGAAACAUUACGAGUACAAAUCACCUCCUCCACCGGUUUACCAGUCUCCCCCUCCUCCAGUUUAUCAUUCUCCUCCACCACCGGUUUACCAAUCUCCCCCUCCUCCGGUUUACCACUCUCCUCCACCACCUAAAAAACAUUACGAGUACAAAUCUCCUCCUCCUCCGGUUUACCAGUCUCCUCCUCCUCCGGUUUACCACUCUCCCCCACCACCAAAAGAGCACUACGAAUACAAAUCUCCUCCUCCUCCCGUCCAUUCUCCUCCUCCACCGGUUCACUACUCACCUCCACACCAACCCUACCUUUACAAAUCUCCACCUCCUCCAC
This 25153-nucleotide long non-coding RNA is filed under the name Eutrema salsugineum. Its description in RNAcentral is "long non-coding RNA (ESAL_LNC000025)". The record is from RNAcentral. Lineage: Eukaryota; Viridiplantae; Streptophyta; Magnoliopsida; Brassicales; Brassicaceae.